Molecule: RNA transcript, 1473 nt
Organism: Cucurbita moschata (crookneck pumpkin)
Lineage: Eukaryota; Viridiplantae; Streptophyta; Magnoliopsida; Cucurbitales; Cucurbitaceae
Exons: 3
Source: RefSeq, a predicted model, not a curated record
UGUAAUACCCGAAUUUUUAGAUGAAUAAAUAAAUAAAAUAAAAAUAACAACAUAGGGGCAAAAUGGUCAUUUUGCCCCUACUCUUAUCCAAGGGGUCUAGUUGUUUGGGCUCCAAGAAGAAAGAGAGAGAAAAGAAAAGAAAAAGAGUGAGAAUGGAGAAAGGAGAAGAAGUUAGGGUUUGGGAGAGAGGAAGAACAGAGAUGACAAAUAGCCAUUGGAGAUCGAAUCCAAGGCAAGAAACUUCGAAGCAAUACUUCUCCCAGUGCUGGAAAAGGAGUUCGGGUGGUGGAAUCCACUCAUUCCGGCAAGAAAAUCCGAGAACGGACAAAGUUCUUGAAGUUCUUGGACGAGAAUCGGACGAAAAUCAGAGUUUAGUCUUGACUUCUGGUGAAGCGAUCGAAAAUAGAAAAUGAGGAGAGAGAGGAGGCCUUGCCGCCACGCGUCUGCCGGCGUAUGGAGGAGUGCGGUGGGACCGACGAGUGACACGUGGUGACCGCGGGUUGGGGAGGCGUGCCCCACUGGCUAUUCGACACGCGUCAGGGCGCGGAUUCGGGUCAACCCGAGUCCGAUCCGGCGCUCCGCACGCGACCCAGGAACACCGAACCGAACCGGCCGCUGGCCCUCGACUGCGCGGGAAGCCGUGCGUGGACACGCGCGCGUAAAACACCCUCUAGAGCGCGUGUAGGCGCGUGGGUGAUCUUUUUCCCUCCGUUCGACCUCCGUUUGCUUGUUUUUCGCCUCGAUUUCAACUCUGAUCCUAUUUUUAUGUGAAUUAGGACCUAUCAAGAAAAUUCCAGAAUUUUUGGAACCUUUUCCGGCAAAUAAUUCAAGCUUGGGAAGGCACGCGUCGACCAAAUAAGUAGCCAUUUGGAUUUCCACGAGCAGUACUUGUAGGAACCGCUAGGAACAAGCUUGCAUGCUACCACCUAUGAAAUUAGCUAGCCCGACUUAGCGUGUUAUUAUAGAAAUUGCGAAUAUAAGAUGAUUAUGGAAAGCUAGGUACAAAAUGUGUAUUAAAUCUGUUUUGGUUGAGACUCUGAUAAUGUAUGUAUGCAUGAGGAGGUUGGGAAACCUGUGAAAUCUGCGCUCCGGGUAAAGAUGGAUGUUAUCUUCCCGUUGAGCAUGUUUGAUAAUUUUGCAUGAACUACUGCAUGUAAACUCUUUUGUAUGAUUAUUGCUUGUAUUAUCUUUCUGUAUGAAUAGGAAGAAAUUAUGAGCUUAGAUUUAGGAUGCUUAUGGCUAAAUGAGCUAGACGAGACCCUAGAUUGGGGGACCUCUAGAAUACCGUGCAAUUAGACCCGCGAAAUGAUUACCGGUGGAACCAGAACCCAGAAUUCCAAACCCGAUAGGUUUGUGACACCAGGCACGAGAAUCCUAGAGAAACACGAAUCUAAGUCUAAGGCACCAAGUUCCACCCUGGAAAGAAUAAUAGGUCACCACGGUAACUGUAGGUAGCCCGCUAGAGUUGAGCAG